This 204-nucleotide ribosomal RNA is filed under the name uncultured bacterium. Its description in RNAcentral is "partial 16S ribosomal RNA". It matches the Rfam family "Bacterial small subunit ribosomal RNA", at positions 568 to 775 of the family's 1533-position model. The record is from RNAcentral.
UGCGUAGGCGGUCGGGUAAGUCUGACGUGAAAUCUUCAAGCUCAACUUGGAAACUGCGUCGGAUACUAUUCGGCUAGAGGAAUGGAGGGGAGACUGGAAUACUUGGUGUAGCAGUGAAAUGCGUAGAUAUCAAGUGGAACACCAGUGGCGAAGGCGAGUCUCUGGACAUUUCCUGACGCUGAGGCAAGCCAGGGGAGCGAAACG